Molecule: ribosomal RNA, 940 nt
Filed under: uncultured bacterium
Lineage: Bacteria
Description: bacterial SSU rRNA
Rfam family: Bacterial small subunit ribosomal RNA
Source: RNAcentral
UUACUGGGCGUAAAGCGCGCGUAGGCGGUUUAGUAAGUUGUAUGUGAAAGCCCCGGGCUCAACCUGGGAACUGCAUACAAAACUACUAAACUAGAGUACGAGAGAGGAGAGUAGAAUUUGAAGUGUAGCGGUGAAAUGCGUAGAUAUUUCAAGGAAUACCAAUGGCGAAGGCAGCUCUCUGGCUCGACACUGACGCUGAGGUGCGAAAGCGUGGGUAGCAAACAGGAUUAGAUACCCUGGUAGUCCACGCCGUAAACGAUGAGGACUAGCCGUUGGGGGGAAUUAACCCUUCAGUGGCGCAGCUAACGCAUUAAGUUCUCCGCCUGGGGACUACGGCCGCAAGGCUAAAACUCAAAUGAAUUGACGGGGGCCCGCACAAGCGGUGGAGCAUGUGGUUUAAUUCGAUGCAACGCGAAGAACCUUACCUACCCUUGAAAUCCAGCGAAGUUUUCAGAGAUGAGAAUGUGCCUUCGGGAACGCUGUGACAGGUGUUGCAUGGCUGUCGUCAGCUCGUGUCGUGAGAUGUAUGGUUAAGUCCAGUAACGAGCGCAACCCUUACCCUUAUUUGCCAGCGGUUCGGCCGGGAACUAUAAGGGAACUGCCGGUAAUAAGCCGGAGGAAGGUGGGGACGACGUCAAGUCAUCAUGGCCCUUACAUGUAGGGCUACACACGUGCUACAAUGGGAGAUACAGACGGUUGCCAAAGCGCGAGCUGGAGCUAAUCCGAGAAAGUCUCUCGUAGUCCGAAUUGCAGUCUGGAACUCGACUGCAUGAAGCCGGAAUCGCUAGUAAUCGCGGAUCAGCAUGCCGCGGUGAAUACGUUCUCGGGUCUUGUACACACCGCCCGUCACACCAUGGAAGUGCAUUGCACCAGAAGUAGAUAGCUUAACCUUCGGGAUGGCGUUUACCACGGUGUGAUCCAUGACUGGGGUGAAGUCGUA